Molecule: ribosomal RNA, 580 nt
Filed under: uncultured bacterium
Lineage: Bacteria
Description: partial 16S ribosomal RNA
Rfam family: Bacterial small subunit ribosomal RNA
Source: RNAcentral
UAAGGAAUAUUGGUCAAUGGACGAAAGUCUGAACCAGCCAUGCCGCGUGGAGGAUGAAGGUCCUCUGGAUUGUAAACUUCUUUUAUCUGGGACGAAAAAAGGUCUUUCUAGAUCGUCUGACGGUACCAGAUGAAUAAGCACCGGCUAACUCCGUGCCAGCAGCCGCGGUAAUACGGAGGGUGCAAGCGUUAUCCGGAUUCACUGGGUUUAAAGGGUGCGUAGGUGGGUUGGUAAGUCAGUGGUGAAAUCUUCGAGCUUAACUCGGAAACUGCCAUUGAUACUAUCAGUCUUGAAUAUUGUGGAGGUUAGCGGAAUAUGUCAUGUAGCGGUGAAAUGCUUAGAUAUGACAUAGAACACCAAUUGCGAAGGCAGCUGGCUACACAUAUAUUGACACUGAGGCACGAAAGCGUGGGGAUCAAACAGGAUUAGAUACCCUGGUAGUCCACGCCCUAAACUAUGGAUACUCGACAUACGCGAUACACUGUGUGUGUCUGAGCGAAAGCAUUAAGUAUCCCCACCUGGGAAGUACGAUCGCAAGAUUGAAACUCAAAUGAAUUGACGGGGUCAUAGCUGUUUCCUG